RNAcentral lists this transfer RNA (69 nucleotides) under Eriosoma lanigerum (woolly apple aphid). RNAcentral's name for it is "transfer RNA histidine". The record is from RNAcentral. Lineage: Eukaryota; Metazoa; Arthropoda; Insecta; Hemiptera; Aphididae.
AUUUAAAUAGUUUAUUUAAAAUAUUAAUUUGUGGAAUUAAAGAAUAUAUAAUUUAUUUAUAUUUAAAUA